GCUUGGAGUUCAUGAGAGGAAGGAGAAUACUGGAGAUUAAUCCAGAUCACCCCAUUAUUAAAGACUUAAGUGCUGCGUGCAAGAAUGCACCUGAUAGCAGCGAUGCGAAGAGAGCUGUUGAUCUCCUAUACGACACAGCAUUGAUCUCCAGUGGAUUCUCGCCUGACAGCCCAGCUGAGUUGGGUAAUAAGAUAUAUGAGAUGAUGGCUAUGGCACUCGGCGGAAGAUGGGGCAGAUCUGAAGAUGAUGAAGCAGAGGCAGUUGGUGAUAAUGCUGCAGAAUCUGUUGCUAGUGCUGAUGAAAAUGCAGAGCCA
This 314-nucleotide unclassified non-coding RNA is filed under the name Hevea brasiliensis (rubber tree). Lineage: Eukaryota; Viridiplantae; Streptophyta; Magnoliopsida; Malpighiales; Euphorbiaceae. The record is from RNAcentral.